Molecule: ribosomal RNA, 549 nt
Filed under: Triticum aestivum (bread wheat)
Lineage: Eukaryota; Viridiplantae; Streptophyta; Magnoliopsida; Poales; Poaceae
Description: partial small subunit ribosomal RNA
Source: RNAcentral
AUGGUCACCCCCCUGCGCGCCAUGGCGCCCGGGGACGCGGAUCCCUCGCCAGGGGGAGCCAGCGGUUCCCAGCCGGAUCUGGGAGGGAGCGGCGACGACGUCAUCUUCUUGAGGGAGGCGCCGGGGCCGACUCCUUCGACUGGGGCGGCCCAAGGCGGCCAGACUGAGCCUGCGCCCGCACAGUCGGCGGAAGGCGAGCCGGCCGCGGGAGCUGCGGUGGCGGUCCGGGUUCCGCCAAGCCGGCGCGCAGGGAAGGCCGCGUCGGAGCCGCAGAAAGCGGCGUCGGAGCCACGGCCGGCCGUGGGCUCCAGUUCGUCAGCCCGAGACGCGGAGGCGGCCAGCGCUACCUCAGGGUGGACGCCAGGCGGAGGGACAUCCGUGGUGAACAUCGCUGCGCAAGACGUCCGGACCCGGCUCCAGGGCCAAGCCGCGGCGCUGAGGCAGUUCACCGACGAAUUCCUCGCCACGCGGGCUGCCAUCCGGGUUAGUAUUCUCAUCUUCUUCUUGAUUUCUCUCGUGGGGGCGCGUCAGCGCACCCACUGGGUGUAG